Amphimedon queenslandica is the source of this 134-nucleotide long non-coding RNA. RefSeq lists it as uncharacterized. NCBI's taxonomy places the organism in Eukaryota, Metazoa, Porifera, Demospongiae, Haplosclerida, Niphatidae. The record is from RefSeq and is a predicted model, not a curated record. The transcript is spliced from 3 exons.
UACUUCAGCAUUUCCUGUACACAUUGGAAUAUAAUUCUGUAACUCACAUGUGUACUACUUGUGGUGUUAGCAAAGUCUCUCUUCUCAGGGAAUUCUGUAACAAAACAGGAGUACAGAUUACAUUGAAGGAUUAC